GUCCUGAGAUUACAGGUGUGAGCCACCAUGCCUGGCUAAGACUUUUUAAAUGAACCAGACCAGCCCUAACACAAGGGAUUCAGUCCUAGACAAUAGCAGCUGUCACCAGCUUUCAUCCCAGAUGGCCUACCAGUUACUGUCCAGAGUUGUUCCAUUUCUCUUCUUUGCCUGCCUGGCUUGAUGAUCCCCUUGAAUUAGAAUCUAUGCUCUUGUCCUUGCACCAUCUUACUUGCAUAACCCAUUUGGACAGGAUUUUCUGGGUUUGGCUGUUAGCAUUCUCUUUAGACAUUAUUUGGUAAAUGUUCUCUGCCCCAGACCUCAGAACCUAUACCACAUGGACCCCACCACCAUUCCUACCCAUUUUUCUGUGAAAAUUUUCCAGAAAUAAAUUUCUCAUCAUGUGGCCAAUCAGCCCACUACAAUCUCAACCAAGGCUGCAUAUGCAAAACCACUUUGUUGUUUUAGCUUUUGUCACUUUUUGGAAUUAUACAUUUUGUUAUGCUAUUUAUUCCCCUUAGCAAGAAUAAUUAAUUGCCCUUAAAGGAUAGUGGAAGGCAGAAAAUAAUGAUGUAAUGUGGAGCAUGCUCAGAAAUAUUAAGUUAGUUUUUCCACCAGGAUAUAAAGGUCCAUCUUCUGCUGAGAAGUCUAUGAGAGGCCAAGUAAUCAUUUAUGAGAGUGGCUGCAUAACACACUGGUUCACUGCAGACUCUCUUAUUGGUUUUUGAUACAGUUUCACACAGGCUUCAUUUGCCAAUUGUGUUGUUUAGUUGGGAAGUAAAAGGCUCUUGAGAUUGGGGUAGAGAUGGGGAGGGGAACACUGAUCGAUUCCUGGCUUGGGACAGGAGAUUGUUGCUGUAUUGCUAUACUCUUACAGGCAUCUCCUUUAUCAAAAUAUAGCCAAGAUGCGAAAUUGAAAUAGUAAUUCUCCUUACUUAAAAAUUCUUUCUUUGUUUUUUUGAGACGGAGUUUUCGCUUUUCUUGCCCAGGCUGGAGUGCAAUGGCACAGUCUCAGCUCACGACAAUCUCUGCCUCCCAGAUUCAAUCGAUUCUCCUGCCUCAGCCUCCCAAGUAGUUAGGAUUACAGGCGUGUGCCACCACGCGCGGCUAACUUUUUGUUUUUAGUAGAGACCGCAUUUCACCGUAUUGGUCAGGCUGGUCUCAAACUCCUGACCCCAGGUAAUCGUCCCAGCUCCGCCUCUCAAAGUGCUGGGAUUACAGGCAUGCGCCUGACUCCUCCUUGUUUAAAAAUUCUAGUAAGUGGCCAGGCGCGGUGGCUCACAACUGUAAUCCCAGCACUUUGGGAGGCUGAGGUGGGCAGAUCACAAGGUCAGGAGUUCAAGACCAGCCUGGCCCACAUGGUGAAGCCCUGUCUCUACUAAAAAAAGUACAAAAAUUAGCUGGGCAUGGUGGGGCGCACCUGUAGUCCCAGCUGCUCAGGAGGCUGAGGCAGGAGAAUAGCUUGAACCCGGGAGGGGGAGGUUGCAGUGAGCCAAGAUCGUGCCACUGCACUCCAGCCUGGUGACAGACUCAAAAAAAAAAAAAAAAAAAAAAAAA
Macaca fascicularis (crab-eating macaque) is the source of this 1554-nucleotide long non-coding RNA. Lineage: Eukaryota; Metazoa; Chordata; Mammalia; Primates; Cercopithecidae. The record is from Ensembl.